CUCAUUUUUCCCGGGCUUUCGGUCAGCGUUUUCCUUUUCUCGCGGGUUUGGGCGCGCAUCGAACUCUGAAGGGUCGGGAAGGCCUGUCGUUGGAAUGUGGUUGAGUUCCAGGGAGUGUACAGGCUGGAGGAUGGGACAAGACCUAUCUCUGUAUCGAUCAAGCACGGCGUUGGUGUUCCAGCUCAUCACCAAUCCUAAGGAAUUCAAGUGCCUCCCAGGAUGAAUACAGGUUGUCUUGAUGGUGAUACAUUCAUCUGUCUUAAGAUCCCUGCUGAUCUGCUCAUGGUCAAACUCAUGGAAAGAGUUGAGAGUGGGGCACCUUGUUCCUGCAUCCUCAAAGGAGCAUCUUGUUCCUCCAUUUAAGCUUCCAGAGUUAAAAGGUACCUGUACCAUUUAGCGGCUUGUUCACUCAAAGAUCCAUCUUGUCUGGAGCCUGAGGAUGAUUGGAGGUGAAAGGUGUAAGCCAUACUCUGCUCAACUCCAGUCUGAAACUGAGGUUAGUAAAUAAAGAACACGUACUUAACACACGGGAAUCCAACUCUUGGAGGACAUCAGAAGUGGAAUUUUCUUAUACAACCUACCUAUUCAAAUUAGCAUAUAAUCUUUCUAGCCUUUCUAAAUAAAUAAAGGGAUUUUUUUGU
This 641-nucleotide long non-coding RNA is filed under the name Sus scrofa (pig). RNAcentral describes it as "lncRNA (ENSSSCG00055004332.1)". The record is from RNAcentral. Lineage: Eukaryota; Metazoa; Chordata; Mammalia; Artiodactyla; Suidae.